AACGAACGCUGGCGGCGCGUCUUAAGCAUGCAAGUCGAACGGUAAGGGAGAGCUUGCUCUCCCCUAGAGUGGCGGACUGGUGAGUAACGCGUGGGUGACCUGCCCUGAAGAUGGGGAUAGCUAGUAGAAAUAUUAGAUAAUACCGAAUGUGCUCAUUUACAUAAAGGUAAAUGAGGAAAGGAGCUACGGCUCCGCUUCAGGAUGGGCCCGCGUCCCAUUAGCUGGUUGGUGAGGUAAAGGCCCACCAAGGCAACGAUGGGUAUCCGGCCUGAGAGGGCGAACGGACACAUUGGGACUGAGAUACGGCCCAAACUCCUACGGGAGGCAGCAGCUAAGAAUCUUCCGCAAUGGACGAAAGUCUGACGGAGCGACGCCGUGUGAAUGAAGAAGGCCGAAAGGUUGUAAAAUUCUUUUGCAGAUGAAGAAUAAGAAGAAGAGGGAAUGCUUCUUUGAUGACGGUAGUCAUGCGAAUAAG
Molecule: ribosomal RNA, 475 nt
Filed under: Treponema denticola
Lineage: Bacteria; Pseudomonadati; Spirochaetota; Spirochaetia; Treponematales; Treponemataceae
Description: bacterial SSU rRNA
Rfam family: Bacterial small subunit ribosomal RNA
Source: RNAcentral